Molecule: ribosomal RNA, 253 nt
Filed under: uncultured bacterium
Lineage: Bacteria
Description: partial 16S ribosomal RNA
Rfam family: Bacterial small subunit ribosomal RNA
Source: RNAcentral
UACGAAGGUGGCUAGCGUUGUUCGGAAUCACUGGGCGUAAAGGGCGCGUAGGCGGCUUUAUAAGUCGGGGGUGAAAGCCUGUGGCUCAACCACAGAAUUGCCUUCGAUACUGUAUGGCUUGAGACCGGAAGAGGUAAGUGGAACUGCGAGUGUAGAGGUGAAAUUCGUAGAUAUUCGCAAGAACACCAGUGGCGAAGGCGGCUUACUGGUCCGGUUCUGACGCUGAGGCGCGAAAGCGUGGGGAGCAAACAGG